GACGAACGCUGGCGGCGUGCUUAACACAUGCAAGUCGAGCGGUAAGGGCCCUUUUUCGGGGGUACACGAGCGGCGAACGGGUGAGUAACACGUGGGUGACCUGCCCUCAGCUCUGGGAUAAGCCUGGGAAACUGGGUCUAAUACUGGAUAUGACUCCACGGUGCAUGUCGUGGGGUGGAAAGCCUUGUGCGGCUGAGGAUGGGCCCGCGGCCUAUCAGCUUGUUGGNGGGGUAAUGGCCUACCAAGGCGACGACGGGUAGCCGGCCUGAGAGGGCGACCGGCCACACUGGGACUGAGACACGGCCCAGA
RNAcentral lists this ribosomal RNA (309 nucleotides) under uncultured bacterium. Its description in RNAcentral is "bacterial SSU rRNA". It matches the Rfam family "Bacterial small subunit ribosomal RNA", at positions 28 to 335 of the family's 1533-position model. The record is from RNAcentral.